UACGUAGGGUGCAAGCGUUGUCCGGAAUUAUUGGGCGUAAAGAGCUUGUAGGCGGUUUGUCGCGUCUGCUGUGAAAACUCAGGGCUUAACCCUGAGCUUGCAGUGGGUACGGGCAGACUAGAGUGCGGUAGGGGAGACUGGAAUUCCUGGUGUAGCGGUGAAAUGCGCAGAUAUCAGGAGGAACACCGGUGGCGAAGGCGGGUCUCUGGGCCGUAACUGACGCUGAGGAGCGAAAGCAUGGGGAGCUAACAGG
Molecule: ribosomal RNA, 253 nt
Filed under: uncultured bacterium
Lineage: Bacteria
Description: partial 16S ribosomal RNA
Rfam family: Bacterial small subunit ribosomal RNA
Source: RNAcentral